ACAAGCGGUGGAGUAUGUGGUUUAAGUUCGAUGCAACGCGAAGAACCUUACCUGGUCUUGACAUCCCGGAGACCCUUAGGAAACUAGGGGGUGCUUCCAUCUGGAAGAAUCUGGAGACAGGUGCUGCAUGGCUGUCGUCAGCUCGUGUCGUGAGAUGUUGGGUUAAGUCCCGCAACGAGCGCAACCCUUGCCUUUAGUUGCCAGCAGUUCGGCUGGGCACUCUAAAGGGACUGCCGGUGUUAAACCGGAGGAAGGUGGGGAUGACGUCAAGUCCUCAUGGCCUUUAUGACCAGGGCUACACACGUACUACAAUGGCCGAUACAAAGGGCAGCGACACUGCGAGGUGAAGCCAAUCCCGUAAAAUCGGUCUCAGUCCGGAUUGGAGUCUGCAACUCGACUCCAUGAAGUUGGAAUCGCUAGUAAUCGUGGAUCAGCAUGCCACGGUGAAUACGUUCCCGGGCCUU
This 464-nucleotide ribosomal RNA is filed under the name uncultured Desulfobulbus sp. RNAcentral's name for it is "bacterial SSU rRNA". It matches the Rfam family "Bacterial small subunit ribosomal RNA", at positions 925 to 1382 of the family's 1533-position model. Lineage: Bacteria; Pseudomonadati; Thermodesulfobacteriota; Desulfobulbia; Desulfobulbales; Desulfobulbaceae. The record is from RNAcentral.